RNAcentral lists this unclassified non-coding RNA (383 nucleotides) under soil metagenome. Its description in RNAcentral is "partial contains 5.8S ribosomal RNA, internal transcribed spacer 2, and large subunit ribosomal RNA". The stretch from base 1 to 120 matches the Rfam family "5.8S ribosomal RNA", at positions 35 to 154 of the family's 154-position model. The record is from RNAcentral.
GAUGAAGAACGUAGCGAAAUGCGAUAAGUAAUGUGAAUUGCAGAAUUCAGAGAAUCAUCGAAUCUUUGAACGCACCUUGCGCUCCUUGGUAUUCCGAGGAGCAUGCCUGUUUGAGUGUCAUGAAAUUCUCAACCUUUCUGGCUUUUGCUAGUCAGGCUUGGAUUAUGGGAGCUGCUGGCUUUUGAAGUCGGCUCUUCUAAAAUGUAUUAGCAAGAUCAUUGCUGCUCAUCAUUGGUAUGAUAAUUAUCUAUAUCAUUGAGAGUCAGUUUCCUUUAUUGGAAGAUUUUGCUCCUAACGGUCUUUAGCAAGACAACAUUUGACGAUUUUGACCUCAAAUCAGGUAGGACUACCCGCUGAACUUAAGCAUAUCAAUAAGCGGAGGA